RNAcentral lists this ribosomal RNA (2798 nucleotides) under Pseudomonas amygdali pv. tabaci. Its description in RNAcentral is "bacterial LSU rRNA". It matches the Rfam family "Bacterial large subunit ribosomal RNA". The record is from RNAcentral. Lineage: Bacteria; Pseudomonadati; Pseudomonadota; Gammaproteobacteria; Pseudomonadales; Pseudomonadaceae.
UCAAGUGAAGAAGCGCAUACGGUGGAUGCCUUGGCAGUCAGAGGCGAUGAAAGACGUGGUAGCCUGCGAAAAGCUUCGGGGAGUCGGCAAACAGACUGUGAUCCGGAGAUGUCUGAAUGGGGGAACCCAGCCAUCAUAAGAUGGUUAUCUUGUACUGAAUACAUAGGUGCAAGANNNNNNNNNNNNNNNNNNNNNNNNNNNNNNNNNNNNNNNNGGCCAUAGUGGGUGAUAGCCCUGUACGCGAAAAUCCCUUUGCAAUGAAAUCGAGUAGGACGGGGCACGAGAAACCUUGUCUGAAUAUGGGGGGACCAUCCUCCAAGGCUAAAUACUACUGACUGACCGAUAGUGAACCAGUACCGUGAGGGAAAGGCGAAAAGAACCGCGGAGAGCGGAGUGAAAUAGAUCCUGAAACCGUAUGCGUACAAGCAGUGGGAGCCCACUUUGUUGGGUGACUGCGUACCUUUUGUAUAAUGGGUCAGCGACUUAUUUUCAGUGGCGAGCUUAACCGAAUAGGGGAGGCGUAGCGAAAGCGAGUCUUAAUAGGGCGUCUAGUCGCUGGGAAUAGACCCGAAACCGGGCGAUCUAUCCAUGGGCAGGUUGAAGGUUGGGUAACACUAACUGGAGGACCGAACCGACUACCGUUGAAAAGUUAGCGGAUGACCUGUGGAUCGGAGUGAAAGGCUAAUCAAGCUCGGAGAUAGCUGGUUCUCCUCGAAAGCUAUUUAGGUAGCGCCUCAUGUAUCACUGUAGGGGGUAGAGCACUGUUUCGGCUAGGGGGUCAUCCCGACUUACCAAACCGAUGCAAACUCCGAAUACCUACAAGUGCCGAGCAUGGGAGACACACGGCGGGUGCUAACGUCCGUCGUGAAAAGGGAAACAACCCAGACCGUCAGCUAAGGUCCCAAAGUCAUGGUUAAGUGGGAAACGAUGUGGGAAGGCUUAGACAGCUAGGAGGUUGGCUUAGAAGCAGCCACCCUUUAAAGAAAGCGUAAUAGCUCACUAGUCGAGUCGGCCUGCGCGGAAGAUGUAACGGGGCUCAAACCAUGCACCGAAGCUACGGGUAUCAUCUUAUGAUGAUGCGGUAGAGGAGCGUUCUGUAAGCCUGUGAAGGUGAGUUGAGAAGCUUGCUGGAGGUAUCAGAAGUGCGAAUGCUGACAUGAGUAACGACAAUGGGUGUGAAAAACACCCACGCCGAAAGACCAAGGUUUCCUGCGCAACGUUAAUCGACGCAGGGUUAGUCGGUCCCUAAGGCGAGGCUGAAAAGCGUAGUCGAUGGAAAACAGGUUAAUAUUCCUGUACUUCUGGUUAUUGCGAUGGAGGGACGGAGAAGGCUAGGCCAGCCUGGCGUUGGUUGUCCAGGUUUAAGGUGGUAGGCUGAGAUCUUAGGUAAAUCCGGGAUCUCAAGGCCGAGAGCUGAUGACGAGUGUUCUUUAGAACACGAAGUGGUUGAUGCCAUGCUUCCAAGAAAAGCUUCUAAGCUUCAGGUAACCAGGAACCGUACCCCAAACCGACACAGGUGGUUGGGUAGAGAAUACCAAGGCGCUUGAGAGAACUCGGGUGAAGGAACUAGGCAAAAUGGCACCGUAACUUCGGGAGAAGGUGCGCCGGUGAGGGUGAAGCAUUUACUGCGUAAGCCCACGCCGGUCGAAGAUACCAGGCCGCUGCGACUGUUUAUUAAAAACACAGCACUCUGCAAACACGAAAGUGGACGUAUAGGGUGUGACGCCUGCCCGGUGCCGGAAGGUUAAUUGAUGGGGUUAGCGCAAGCGAAGCUCUUGAUCGAAGCCCCGGUAAACGGCGGCCGUAACUAUAACGGUCCUAAGGUAGCGAAAUUCCUUGUCGGGUAAGUUCCGACCUGCACGAAUGGCGUAACGAUGGCGGCGCUGUCUCCACCCGAGACUCAGUGAAAUUGAAAUCGCUGUGAAGAUGCAGUGUAUCCGCGGCUAGACGGAAAGACCCCGUGAACCUUUACUAUAGCUUUGCACUGGACUUUGAAUUUGCUUGUGUAGGAUAGGUGGGAGGCUUUGAAGCGUGGACGCCAGUCUGCGUGGAGCCAACCUUGAAAUACCACCCUGGCAACUUUGAGGUUCUAACUCAGGUCCGUUAUCCGGAUCGAGGACAGUGUAUGGUGGGUAGUUUGACUGGGGCGGUCUCCUCCUAAAGAGUAACGGAGGAGUACGAAGGUGCGCUCAGACCGGUCGGAAAUCGGUCGUAGAGUAUAAAGGCAAAAGCGCGCUUGACUGCGAGACAGACACGUCGAGCAGGUACGAAAGUAGGUCUUAGUGAUCCGGUGGUUCUGUAUGGAAGGGCCAUCGCUCAACGGAUAAAAGGUACUCCGGGGAUAACAGGCUGAUACCGCCCAAGAGUUCAUAUCGACGGCGGUGUUUGGCACCUCGAUGUCGGCUCAUCACAUCCUGGGGCUGAAGCCGGUCCCAAGGGUAUGGCUGUUCGCCAUUUAAAGUGGUACGCGAGCUGGGUUUAGAACGUCGUGAGACAGUUCGGUCCCUAUCUGCCGUGGACGUUUGAGAUUUGAGAGGGGCUGCUCCUAGUACGAGAGGACCGGAGUGGACGAACCUCUGGUGUUCCGGUUGUCACGCCAGUGGCAUUGCCGGGUAGCUAUGUUCGGAAAAGAUAACCGCUGAAAGCAUCUAAGCGGGAAACUUGCCUCAAGAUGAGAUCUCACUGGAACCUUGAGUUCCCUAAAGGGCCGUCGAAGACUACGACGUUGAUAGGUUGGGUGUGUAAGCGCUGUGAGGCGUUGAGCUAACCAAUACUAAUUGCCCGUGAGGCUUGACCAU